Molecule: ribosomal RNA, 674 nt
Filed under: Eleale cf. aspera NLG-2013
Lineage: Eukaryota; Metazoa; Arthropoda; Insecta; Coleoptera; Cleridae
Description: eukaryotic LSU rRNA
Rfam family: Eukaryotic large subunit ribosomal RNA
Source: RNAcentral
CUUGAAACACGGACCAAGGAGUCUAGCAUGUGCGCGAGUCAUUGGGAAUCACUAAACCUAAAGGCGCAAUGAAAGUAAAGGUCCGCCUUGCGCGGACCGAGGGAAGAUGAGUAGGCCUGGUGUCUUACGGCAUCAGAUACCUGCUCCGCAUUCCCGGGGCGUCUCGUUCUCAUCGCGAGAAGAGGCGCACCAAGAGCGUACACGCUGGGACCCGAAAGAUGGUGAACUAUGCCUGGUCAGGACGAAGUCAGGGGAAACCCUGAUGGAGGUCCGUAGCGAUUCUGACGUGCAAAUCGAUCGUCGGAACUGGGUAUAGGGGCGAAAGACUAAUCGAACCAUCUAGUAGCUGGUUCCCUCCGAAGUUUCCCUCAGGAUAGCUGGCGCUCGUCGCCUACGAGUCUCAUCCGGUAAAGCGAAUGAUUAGAGGCAUUGGGGUCGAAACGGCCUCAACCUAUUCUCAAACUUUAAAUGGGUGAGAUCUCCGGCUUGCUCGAACUAUUGAAGCCGCGAGACACGGAUCAGAGUGCCAAGUGGGCCAUUUUUGGUAAGCAGAACUGGCGCUGUGGGAUGAACCAAACGCCGAGUUAAAGCGCCUAAAUCGACGCUUAUGGGAUACCAUGAAAGGCGUUGGUAACUUAAGACAGCAGGACGGUGGCCAUGGAAGUCGGAAUCCG